AUACGGAGGGUGCGAGCGUUGUUCGGAAUUACUGGGCGUAAAGCGGGUGUAGGCGGUGGAUCAAGUCAGAUGUGAAAGCCCUCGGCUCAACCGAGGAAGUGCAUCUGAAACUGGUUCACUAGAGUACGGGAGAGGAGAGUGGAAUUCCCAGUGUAGAGGUGAAAUUCGUAGAUAUUGGGAGGAACACCGGUGGCGAAGGCGGCUCUCUGGAACGAUACUGACACUGAGACCCGAAAGCGUGGGGAGCAAACAGGAUUAGAAACCCCUGUAGUCC
This 274-nucleotide ribosomal RNA is filed under the name uncultured bacterium. RNAcentral describes it as "partial 16S ribosomal RNA". It matches the Rfam family "Bacterial small subunit ribosomal RNA", at positions 523 to 796 of the family's 1533-position model. The record is from RNAcentral.